GAGUAGGUGGCUGAAGUUUAAGCGAUAGAUUGUAAAUCUAUAAAUGAAAGGUAUUUUCUCUUCUCA
Molecule: transfer RNA, 66 nt
Filed under: Alpheus brevicristatus
Lineage: Eukaryota; Metazoa; Arthropoda; Malacostraca; Decapoda; Alpheidae
Description: tRNA-Tyr
Rfam family: tRNA
About the family: Transfer RNA (tRNA) molecules are approximately 80 nucleotides in length. Their secondary structure includes four short double-helical elements and three loops (D, anti-codon, and T loops). Further hydrogen bonds mediate the characteristic L-shaped molecular structure. tRNAs have two regions of fundamental functional importance: the anti-codon, which is responsible for specific mRNA codon recognition, and the 3' end, to which the tRNAs corresponding amino acid is attached (by aminoacyl-tRNA synthetases). tRNAs cope with the degeneracy of the genetic code in two manners: having more than one tRNA (with a specific anti-codon) for a particular amino acid; and 'wobble' base-pairing, i.e. permitting non-standard base-pairing at the 3rd anti-codon position.
Source: RNAcentral